This is a small nucleolar RNA of Phacochoerus africanus (Common warthog), 143 nucleotides long. RefSeq annotates it as small nucleolar RNA SNORA15. The transcript has a single exon. The record is from RefSeq and is a predicted model, not a curated record. NCBI's taxonomy places the organism in Eukaryota, Metazoa, Chordata, Mammalia, Artiodactyla, Suidae.
GCAUGGCUGAAUACUAUAUUCUUUUCAGUAAUUUACACAGCCAGACACCAUGAAAAAGGAAGAUUUUCCCUUUAACAUGGCGAGGAUGGUGUGCUAAGUUUUUUUUUUUUCAUAGCUUGCCAUUAUUAAAAGGGAAUACAAAU